RNAcentral lists this transfer RNA (72 nucleotides) under Ictidomys tridecemlineatus (thirteen-lined ground squirrel). RNAcentral's name for it is "Spermophilus tridecemlineatus (thirteen-lined ground squirrel) tRNA". It matches the Rfam family "tRNA". Rfam says of the family: Transfer RNA (tRNA) molecules are approximately 80 nucleotides in length. The record is from Rfam by way of RNAcentral. Lineage: Eukaryota; Metazoa; Chordata; Mammalia; Rodentia; Sciuridae.
AGGGUUGUAGCUCAGUGGUAGAGUGCUUGCCUCACACGCGUGAGGCUCAGGGUUCAAUCCUCAGCACCUCAG